AAAUAAGAAUUAGAAACGAAUUAGAACUGUGUCAGUUCCUAUGGGGGCUGUCUAGAGGAAAGCAACUGCUAUGCCAUUUCUGUCAAGGGCCAAUCGCUGGAAACUUCGAAGGAGAGACCCCACUUCUGAGGCAGACCUGAGUGGGGUACAGUUGACUGUCCAGUUGUAGAUUGGCUGUCACUUGACUCGGUACUUGUGGUCCUCGAGAUCUGCUUGGGAUGUGGCCCUGGGACCCUGGAAAGGCGGAUCCCGUACUCCCCGCUGGCUGCUGGGCUCAGGCCCAUCCCGCUAUGGCCAGCAGGGGCGACGCGCCUGCAGAGAGGCGCGGACCAGGGCCCCGGGAUCAUGGGCGCCGGAGCCAGCGGGGUUAAAACCGGAGUCUCCAGAUGUUGUGAACUGACUCCCAGGUGAAGAAGAGUCCUUUUCUUGUUCUGGGUAAUGGAUUCCUAGGGUGUUUUGAGAUCAUCCAAAACCCUCCCAGAAGAGACAACUGUAUGAAGACGAGGCUGGCGGCCAACCCAGAACAGAGGCCACCAACCAAACCAGACAACACUUUCAUCUUGAACUUCCAGAACAGAGACAAAAUAGAGUUCUGUUGUUUACACCCCCCA
Mastomys coucha (southern multimammate mouse) is the source of this 611-nucleotide long non-coding RNA. RefSeq lists it as uncharacterized. The transcript is spliced from 2 exons. The record is from RefSeq and is a predicted model, not a curated record. NCBI's taxonomy places the organism in Eukaryota, Metazoa, Chordata, Mammalia, Rodentia, Muridae.